UUUAUUGAGAGUUUGAUCCUGGCUCAGGACGAACGCUGGCGGCGUGCCUAACACAUGCAAGUCGAACGGACAUUACUCGGUAGUAAUAUUGGGUAAUUGUUAGUGGCGAACGGGUGAGUAAUGCGUGAGCAACCUGCCUUUCAGAGGGGGACAACAGUUGGAAACGACUGCUAAUACCGCAUAAUGUAUAUUUACGGCAUCGUAGAUAUACCAAAGGAGAAAUCCGCUGAAAGAUGGGCUCACGUCUGAUUAGUUAGAUGGUAGGGUAAUGGCCUACCAUGACUGCGAUCAGUAGCCGGUCUGAGAGGAUGAACGGCCACAUUGGGACUGAGAUACGGCCCAGACUCCUACGGGAGGCAGCAGUGGGGAAUAUUGGGCA
This is a ribosomal RNA of 379 nucleotides. It matches the Rfam family "Bacterial small subunit ribosomal RNA", at positions 1 to 370 of the family's 1533-position model.